This 449-nucleotide ribosomal RNA is filed under the name uncultured bacterium. RNAcentral describes it as "partial 16S ribosomal RNA". It matches the Rfam family "Bacterial small subunit ribosomal RNA", at positions 29 to 523 of the family's 1533-position model. The record is from RNAcentral.
AACGAACGCUGGCGGCAUGCCUAACACAUGCAAGUCGAACGAGACCUUCGGGUCUAGUGGCGCACGGGUGCGUAACGCGUGGGAAUCUACCCUUGGGUUCGGAAUAACAGUUAGAAAUGACUGCUAAUACCGGAUGAUGACGUAAGUCCAAGGAUUUAUCGCCCAAGGAUGAGCCUGCGUAAGAUUAGCUUGUUGGUGGGGUAAUGGCCUACCAAGGCGACGAUCUUUAGCUGGUCUGAGAGGAUGAUCAGCCACACUGGGACUGAGACACGGCCCAGACUCCUACGGGAGGCAGCAGUGGGGAAUAUUGGACAAUGGGCGAAAGCCUGAUCCAGCAAUGCCGCGUGAGUGAUGAAGGCCUUAGGGUUGUAAAGCUCCUUUACCAGGGAUGAUAAUGACAGUACCUGGAGAAUAAGCUCCGGCUAACUCCGUGCCAGCAGCCGCCGUAA